This 286-nucleotide long non-coding RNA is filed under the name Homo sapiens (human). RNAcentral's name for it is "non-protein coding lnc-SPTB-1:1". The record is from RNAcentral. Lineage: Eukaryota; Metazoa; Chordata; Mammalia; Primates; Hominidae.
CGCGCACCCCCGGGCAGCCUAGAUGCUCUAGGAUACCAAGACGCACGUGGUGGGGUCACCCUGGUGUCACAGACCUGCUAUCACCGCCUCCCGAGACAGCAUGGACUGCCAGAACGUACCCCUUGUAUGGACAGGGAACACCGGGCCCUGCGAAGGGGGCUGAGGGCUUUCCCAAUGGUAAAUGCAGACCUCUGAGAAGCUGACGGGAAAGAGAUAAAGGAGACAACGUGAAGGCAACUCCACAAGGAACUGUUAAAUAGGAAAAAUAAAACACAGAAACCUGGAU